CCCCACUAUGCCUAGCCGUUAACCACGAUAGUCCAUAUACCCACUAUCCGCCAGAGGAUUACGAGCAAAAGUUGCUUAAAACCCAAAGGAUUUGGCGGUGUCCCACAUCUCCCUAGAGGAGCCUGUCCUGUAAUCGACACUCCACGUUUCACCUCACCAUCUUAGGCCACUCCAGCUUAUAUACCGCCGUCGUCAGCUUACCCUUUGAGGGGCCCAUAGUAGGCAAAAACGUCCACACAAAAACGUCAGGUCAAGGUGUAGCUAACAAGAUGGAAGCGAUGGGCUACAUUUUCUACGAUAGAAAAUACGGACAUUGCAAUGAAAACAUUGCACUAGAAGGCGGAUUUAGCAGUAAAAUGAGAAAGAAUGCCCAUUUUAAGCUUGCCACUG
This 390-nucleotide ribosomal RNA is filed under the name Matobosaurus validus (giant plated lizard). RNAcentral's name for it is "partial 12S ribosomal RNA". It matches the Rfam family "Bacterial small subunit ribosomal RNA", at positions 785 to 1376 of the family's 1533-position model. The record is from RNAcentral. Lineage: Eukaryota; Metazoa; Chordata; Lepidosauria; Squamata; Gerrhosauridae. RNAcentral also lists the same sequence under 1 other name.